CUUACUGCCACGUUCAUUGCCGCUCUACUCACAAUAACUAAGAAAUGAAAAGAGCCUAGAUGUCUUCCAACUGAUAAUGGAUAAUAAAAAUGUGAACUUGAAGAUAAGACCCUGUUGCUGAAGACACCACACACUUUGAACAAAGGAUUUGGAGGAAACAAGCAGAAACUGGCCUGAAGCUCCUCCCUGAGGACUAGCGCUCAUAUUAUCUGAUGGUGCUUUGGAAGCUGCCAGAGGAGAAAAUCAAUCAAUAAUCCUAUACAUCCGUAAAGCCCAUGAACCAUAGCAAUGACUAUCCUGGCAGCAUAUCCUCAAGGGUGCAAUAAUGGCACUUAUAUCCUGGGGGUAACCAAACGGUUCACUAACUGGCCUUAAAUAGGAAGGAAUUCGUGUCUGGUACUACUACUCAUGUUUGGAGAGGUUGCAGAUCCUAGAGGAGAACCUACUAUUGCCAUUUCCCCCAAAUCAGUGUAGGUUCUCAUUGUAUCAUAAAUACUUAUCCUUUUACCCACAGAUAAGUGUAGCUCUGAGCCCUCUUCAAAACAAGUAGAUGGAAGCUAUCCUAGAACCCCACAACUGGUCAAAGUGCAAAGGGUAAGUGACUAUGGUGAGUCCAACCCCAAAGACACAUCUAUAAUGAAGCUCCUACACCUAAGGCUCAGGGGACAUUACAGAAGAGGGAGCUGAGAGAUUUUAAGAGCUGGAGGACCAGGAUACCUGCUGUGAGAGAGUGUCUCCUAGGCAGGACAGGGAAGCAGCCCCCAUGAAAUCUCAAGAAUGUGUUUGCCUAAACAAGACCUGUGUAAUAACUGUGCUGGCUAGUUUUAUGUCAAUUUGACACAAACUAGAGGAAUUUUAGAGAGAACUGCAGUUGAGAAAAUGCUCCCACCAGAUUGUCCUGUGGGAAAGCUUGUGGUCCAUUUUCAUGAGUAAUGGUUGAUGAGGAAGGACCAGUUCAUUGUGGGAGGUACCACUCUGAGGGGUGGCCUUGGAUGGUAUAAGAGAGUAAGCUGAGAAAGCCAUGGAGAGAAGUGAGCCGCACUUCACUUCUGUGUCUGUAUCAGUUCCUGCAUCCAGUGUGUGUGUGUGUGUGUGUGUGUGUGUGUGUGUGUGUGUGUGUAUGUACAUAUGGAUUUGUAGUAAUUAUAUAAGAAGAGAUCAUAAACUCAAGAGGGGGUGGGAAGAGAUGUGGGGGAACACAGAACACGAAGAGGGAGAGACAGUAUUGGAAUUUAUGUAAACAGUAUUCAUUUAUGAAAUUCUCAAAAAAUAAAUAAAUGGAUGCCUAGCUGAUAUCCCUUUUCAAUGUUCAUUGGGGUGGAG
RNAcentral lists this long non-coding RNA (1323 nucleotides) under Cricetulus griseus (Chinese hamster). Its description in RNAcentral is "lncRNA (ENSCGRG00015032965.1)". The record is from RNAcentral. Lineage: Eukaryota; Metazoa; Chordata; Mammalia; Rodentia; Cricetidae.